UGGCUAAGGUGUUGGCUUGGGCUCCCCACUGCAGUUACCCUCCCCUCGGCGUUACUGAGCACUGGGGGCUUUCGGGCUCUGUGUCUGCACAGAUACUUC
MicroRNA precursor from Gorilla gorilla gorilla (western lowland gorilla), 99 nucleotides. NCBI's taxonomy places the organism in Eukaryota, Metazoa, Chordata, Mammalia, Primates, Hominidae. The record is from Ensembl.